Molecule: long non-coding RNA, 462 nt
Organism: Cyprinus carpio carpio
Lineage: Eukaryota; Metazoa; Chordata; Actinopteri; Cypriniformes; Cyprinidae
Source: Ensembl
CAGUUGAAUAGUGUUACAUACACCUCCGUUUAAUCUUGCUGACAAUGGAUUGGAGCCUGCUGCUACUGAGCCGCCCCGUGAUGGAAAAGUGAAUACCAGUGAGACAUCAGGUUGAUGUUGAGCUAUGAUGGAAACAAAUUGGUGAAAAUUAUAAAAGAGAGAUAAAAGAUGGAAAGAGGAGUGUGAAUUACCUGAAUACGGGACUGGGUUCUGUGACGAGCUGCAGAUCAGUGGUGUUUUCUCUGCUGAAGAGUCUUGUCAAGUUCAGUAGUUCUUCUCGAUGCUGCAUUUUAAAAAAUAUGUUCCCCUGAACUUCAUCCAGUCUUGUUAUUGGUUGUGAUUUAAAGGGUUCUAAUUUUCUUUUAAUCUUAUGUAACUGGUGGAAUCAUUUAUCUGUUGAUAUGUGUAAACCUGCCUAGCAUCCGAAUUUAUUGUAAUUAGCUAAAAAUGUGAAAAAUAUUU